AUUCGCGGCCUAUCAGCUUGUUGGUGGGGUGAAGGCCUACCAAGGCGAUUACGGGUAGCCGGCCUGAGAGGGCGACCGGCCACACUGGGACUGAGACACGGCCCAGACUCCUACGGGAGGCAGCAGUGGGGAAUAUUGCGCAAUGGGCGGAAGCCUGACGCAGCGACGCCGCGUGGGGGAUGACGGCCUUCGGGUUGUAAACCUCUUUUACCACCGACGCAGGCCCGCGCUUCUGUGCGGGUUGACGGUAGGUGGGGAAUAAGGACCAGCCAACUACGUGCCAGCAGCCGCGGUAAUACGUAGGGUCCGAGCGUUGUCCGGAAUUAUUGGGCGUAAAGAGCUCGUAGGUGGUGUGUCGCGUCUGCUGUGUAAGUCCGGGGCUUAACUCCGGUUUUGCAGUGGAUACGGGCAUGCUAGAGGUAGGCAGGGGAGACUGGAAUUCCUGGUGUAGCGGUGAAAUGCGCAGAUAUCAGGAGGAACACCGGUGGCGAAGGCGGGUCUCUGGGCCUUACCUGACGCUGAGGAGCGAAAGCGUGGGGAGCGAACAGGAUUAGAUACCCUGGUAGUCCACGCUGUAAACGUUGGGCGCUAGGUGUGGGGACCUUCCACGGUUUCCGUGCCGUAGCUAACGCAUUAAGCGCCCCGCCUGGGGAGUACGGAAU
Molecule: ribosomal RNA, 662 nt
Filed under: uncultured actinomycete
Lineage: Bacteria; Bacillati; Actinomycetota; Actinomycetes; Actinomycetales
Description: bacterial SSU rRNA
Rfam family: Bacterial small subunit ribosomal RNA
Source: RNAcentral